RNAcentral lists this ribosomal RNA (1046 nucleotides) under uncultured bacterium. Its description in RNAcentral is "bacterial SSU rRNA". It matches the Rfam family "Bacterial small subunit ribosomal RNA", at positions 35 to 1089 of the family's 1533-position model. The record is from RNAcentral.
GNNNANNGGNGGGUUUGCUAUAAUGCAAGUCGAACGGAGAUUGUAGCAAUACGGUCUUAGUGGCGAACGGGUGAGUAACGCGUUGGUGAUCUGCCUCGAAGUGUGGAAUAACGAUUCGAAAGAAUCGCUAAUACCGCAUAGUCUCUCUUUUUCCAGAAAUUUGAGAGUAAAGGAUUUAUUCGCUUUGAGAGGAGCCUGCGUCCCAUCAGCUAGUUGGUAAGGUAAUGGCCUACCAAGGCGAUGACGGGUAGGGGACCUGAGAGGGUGGCCCCCCACAAUGGAACUGAAACACGGUCCAUACACCUACGGGUGGCAGCAGUAGGGAAUAUUAGAAAUGGACGAAAGUCUGAUCUAGCAACACCGCGUGUGCGAAGAAGGCCUUCGGGUUGUAAAGCACUUUUUGGAAGGAUUAGGAAGGAAUGUACUUCCAGAAUAAGUCUCGGCUAACUACGUGCCAGCAGCCGCGGUAACACGUAGGAGGCAAACGUUAUCCGGAUUUACUGGGCGUAAAGCGCGUGUAGGUGGUUCUGUAAGUAGGGCGUGAAAGCUCCUGGCUCAACUGGGAGAGGCCGUUCUAAACUGCAGAGCUAGGGGAUGGUAGAGGGAGGUGGAAUUCCGGGUGUAGCGGUGGAAUGCGCAGAUAUCCGGAGGAACACCAGUGGCGAAGGCGACCUCCUGGGCCACUCCUGACACUCAGACGCGAAAGCUAGGGUAGCAAACGGGAUUAGAGACCCCGGUAGUCCUAGCCCUAAACGAUGUUUACUUGACGUCGGCGGCUUAAUCGCCAUCGGUGUCGUAGCUAACGCGAUAAGUAAACCGCUUGGGGACUACGGCCGCAAGGUUAAAACUCAAAGGAAUUGACGGGUCCCCGCACAAGCAGCGGAGCGUGUGGUUUAAUUUCUUUGCUACACGAAGAACCUUACCUGGGUUUUGACAUAGCAGUGGUAGGGAACGAAAGUUGGACCGACCCUUUCGGCGAGCUGUUACAGGUUGUUGCAUGGCUGUUCGUCAGCUUCGUGUCCGUGGAGAUGUUCCGGUUAGUCCGC